This 560-nucleotide small RNA is filed under the name Malus domestica (apple). RNAcentral describes it as "sRNA MD03G0077300". The record is from RNAcentral. Lineage: Eukaryota; Viridiplantae; Streptophyta; Magnoliopsida; Rosales; Rosaceae.
UUAAUUCAGUUCCCAGCACUAGAACAAUUAAUCUUCUCCUUGUCCUUAUACCAACUUUUGGAGAAAAUGUCUUCCAGUUGUAGCUGUGGUAGUGACUGCAAGUGCGGCAGUGGCUGCAAAUGUGGGAUGCACAUUGACUUGGGUUACUCAGACCACUUCCAUUGAUACCAUCAUUGCUGGGGUUGCACCAGUGAAGAUGUCCUUUGAGGGGUCUGAGAUGAACUAUGGAGCAGAAAAUGACUGCAAGUGUGGCUCAAACUGCAGCUGCAGCUCAUGCGGCUGCAACAAAUGAUCAAAGCAAGCCUCAAGAAAAGCUGUCAUGCACGAGGUCUCUAUAAAUAAGGACUGUAAAGGUUGAAUUGUCCAAUUGGGUUUUAGAACUUGCGUUGUAAAAUAAGAUUGCCAUUUGACCUGCAAAUCCAUGAUCUCCUACUCCAGCUAGGAUUUGGGAUUUGAAGGUUUGCAAAUGAGAGAUCAAACUGUAGUUAAUACUUAAUAUGAACAGCUGAGAGCUCCAAUAUGUUGGUACUAUCCAUUAAUUUAUUAAAGCACAAAGUAUU